RNAcentral lists this ribosomal RNA (656 nucleotides) under uncultured bacterium. RNAcentral describes it as "bacterial SSU rRNA". It matches the Rfam family "Bacterial small subunit ribosomal RNA", at positions 8 to 710 of the family's 1533-position model. The record is from RNAcentral.
AGAGUUUGAUCAUGGCUCAGAACGUACGCUGGCGGCACGCCUAACACAUGCAAGUCGAACGAAGUAGCAAUACUUAGUGGCGAACGGGUGAGUAUAAUGUGGGUAUCUGCCCUUUGGUUUGGAAUAACACGAGGAAACUUGUGCUAAUACCGGAUAAGCCUUCACAGGGAAAGCUUUAGCGCCAAAGGAUGAGUCCACACUUGAUUAGCUAGUUGGUAAGGUAAUGGCUUACCAAGGCUACGAUCAAUAGCUGAUCUGAGAGGAUGAUCAGCCACAUUGGGACUGAGACACGGCCCAAACUUCUACGGAAGGCAGCAGUGGGGAGUCUUGCACAAUGGGGGAAACCCUGAUGCAGCGAUGCCGCGUGAGUGAAGAAGGCCCUUGGGUUGUAAAGCUCUUUCGUCGGGGAAGAAAAUGACUGUACCCGAAUAAGAAGGUCCGGCUAACUUCGUGCCAGCAGCCGCGGUAAUACGAAGGGACCUAGCGUAGUUCGGAAUUACUGGGCUUAAAGAGCACGUAGGUGGUUAAGAAAGUUGGUGGUGAAAUCCCAAGGCUUAACCUUGGAACUGCCACCAAAACUUUUUAACUAGAGUAUGAUUGAGGUAAGCGGAAUUUCUAGUGUAGAGGUGAAAUUCGUAGAUAUUAGAAAGAACACC